Molecule: ribosomal RNA, 924 nt
Filed under: uncultured archaeon
Lineage: Archaea
Description: bacterial SSU rRNA
Rfam family: Archaeal small subunit ribosomal RNA
Source: RNAcentral
UUCCGGUUGAUCCUGCCGGAGGCCACUGCUAUGGGGGUCCGACUAAGCCAUGCGAGUCAUGGGGCGCGCUCUGCGCGCACCGGCGGACGGCUCAGUAACACGUCGGUAACCUACCCUCGGGAGGGGGAUAACCCCGGGAAACUGGGGCUAAUCCCCCAUAGGCCUGAGGUACUGGAAGGUCCUCAGGCCGAAAGGGCGUAAGCCGCCCGAGGAUGGGCCGGCGGCCGAUUAGGUAGUUGGUGGGGUAACGGCCCACCAAGCCGAAGAUCGGUACGGGCCAUGAGAGUGGGAGCCCGGAGAUGGACACUGAGACACGGGUCCAGGCCCUACGGGGCGCAGCAGGCGCGAAACCUCCGCAAUGCGGGAAACCGCGACGGGGGGACCCCCAGUGCCGUGGCAUCGCCACGGCUUUUCCGGAGUGUAAAGAGCUCCGGGAAUAAGGGCUGGGCAAGGCCGGUGGCAGCCGCCGCGGUAAUACCGGCGGCCCGAGUGGUGGCCGCUAUUAUUGGGCCUAAAGCGUCCGUAGCCGGGCCCGUAAGUCCCUGGCGAAAUCCCACGGCUCAACCGUGGGGCUUGCUGGGGAUACUGCGGGCCUUGGGACCGGGAGAGGCCGGGGGUACUCCUGGGGUAGGGGUGAAAUCCUAUAAUCCCAGGAGGACCGCCAGUGGCGAAGGCGCCCGGCUGGAACGGGUCCGACGGUGAGGGACGAAGGCCAGGGGAGCGAACCGGAUUAGAUACCCGGGUAGUCCUGGCUGUAAAGGAUGCGGGCUAGGUGUCGGGCGAGCUUCGAGCUCGCCCGGUGCCGAAGGGAAGCCGUUAAGCCCGCCGCCUGGGGAGUACGGCCGCAAGGCUGAAACUUAAAGGAAUUGGCGGGGGAGCACUACAAGGGGUGGAGCGUGCGGUUUAAUUGGAAUCAACGCCGGA